CGAAACCUUUAUUCAUCUAAAAACUCAAAAUUGACUUUUCUUCCGAUGGUAAUAGCUCUGGAUGCCAUGGAUACCCGAGUCAGAACAGUGGUCGAUGAGAAGGGGGCUGAUCAAGCUGAGCCUCUAUGUUGCUUCUUCUUGGAACAGGUCUUGCUUGGUGCCACUGCCCAUCGCUUCCUUGUCUCGGCUGUGCGAGAUUUAGGUGCCAUGACUCGGAGAUCCCAAGGGUUUGAGCGUCGGACAAGGGGGAAAGAUGGGAUUUUUUUUGAGAGAUUAGGGUCAGAGCUGGAAAAUGUUCGGAGUGAGCAAGCUUGGAUGAAGAAGGAAUAGGAUUUUUGGAA
This 341-nucleotide long non-coding RNA is filed under the name Elaeis guineensis (African oil palm). RNAcentral's name for it is "long non-coding RNA (EGUI_LNC041099)". Lineage: Eukaryota; Viridiplantae; Streptophyta; Magnoliopsida; Arecales; Arecaceae. The record is from RNAcentral.